This 429-nucleotide long non-coding RNA is filed under the name Lactuca sativa (garden lettuce). RNAcentral describes it as "long non-coding RNA (LSAT_LNC000528)". The record is from RNAcentral. Lineage: Eukaryota; Viridiplantae; Streptophyta; Magnoliopsida; Asterales; Asteraceae.
UCCAAGAAUGUUCUUGGGCUGUAAACUCAUGUUCAUACAUCAAAUGCCAAGAUUUUGGGGUCCUAAGUACAUGCAUGCAAGUCUACAGAUCUUAUCUAAGCUCCAAAUGAGGUUUGGAAGGGUUUUAAGGCUCAAAACCCCUUAUUACAUGUGUUCACGGCCUAAGGAGAUUCCAAGACCGAAACNAUGUUCAUACAUCAAAUGCCAAGAUUUUGGGGUCCUAAGUACAUGCAUGCAAGUCUACAGAUCUUAUCUAAGCUCCAAAUGAGGUUUGGAAGGGUUUUAAGGCUCAAAACCCCUUAUUACAUGUUUUCACGACCUAAGGAGGUUCCAAGACCGAAACACUUGUUUAUGGUCCCAUUCCUCAUAUAAAUCCCGAAUUUGAAGGCCAAAGGUGUUAAACUAAGAGCUAGGAUAGUUACCUUGAUG